CAGCAGCCACGGUAAUACGAAGGGGGCUAGCGUUGCUCGGAAUGACUGGGCGUAAAGGGCGCGUAGGCGGCGAUCAAAGUCAGGCGUGAAAUUCCUGGGCUCAACCUGGGGGCUGCGCUUGAUACUUGGUUGCUUGAGUGGGGAAGAGGGUCGUGGAAUUCCCAGUGUAGAGGUGAAACUCGUAGAUAUUGGGAAGAACACCGGUGGCGAAGGCGGCAACCUGGUCCUUGACUGACGCUCAUGCACGAAAGCGUGGGGAGCAAACAGGAUUAGAUACCCCCGUAGUCCCUGUCUCUUAUAC
This 301-nucleotide ribosomal RNA is filed under the name uncultured bacterium. Its description in RNAcentral is "partial 16S ribosomal RNA". It matches the Rfam family "Bacterial small subunit ribosomal RNA", at positions 509 to 807 of the family's 1533-position model. The record is from RNAcentral.